ACUUCGGUCUUCGGCGCUAAUUGCAGCUGUAUACUACAAAACCUCUUCUAAACCCUAAUCUCCAGUUGUUUCUUUCUGCUUUCAAGUUCAACAAUUGUGGUACAGCUACACAGCUAGUCGGUUGUUCACUCUUAAAAGUUAAAUCUUAACUCUUAAGCCCUGUUCCCCAUUUUCCUAAAACCCUCGUUCUUCACUCACUCUACUUGUAAAACUAUUAAACAGAAUGUAACGAGUAUCACUAACCUCAUCAUCUCCCGUCGAGGUUUCUUUUUUCUUUUGUUAUUCCCCCCUCUUUUAUUUUGGGGGGUAGUUUGGGGAAUGCAAGCGCAGGCGCGAAUGACGGUUGAAGGUGCGCAGAGGGUGGUGAACGAUGGUGAUCGUGGCGGGAGGAAGGUGUUGCAGCAUCAGCAGCAAAGUCAGCAACCGCCGCAGAUGGGAACUGUGUCUCAGCUUCUUGCCGGUGGCAUAGCAGGCGCCUUUGGAAAGACCUGCACUGCUCCACUCUCACGCCUCACUAUUCUUUUUCAGGUGCAAGGUAUGCAAUUUGAUGUGGCAGCAGCAGCAGCGUUGAGCAAGCCUAGCAUAUGGUGUGAGGCCUCACGCAUUGUCACUGAAGAAGGAUUUAGAGCAUUUUGGAAAGGCAAUUUGGUGACAGUAGCCCAUCGACUUCCUUAUACCGCAGUCAACUUCUAUGCCUAUGAACGCUACAAGAGUAUAAUACAUUCAAUUUUGGGGGAGAAACUCGGAGGAAAUACAAGUACAGACCCCUUUGUGCACUUCAUAGGUGGUGGUUUGUCUGGCAUAACAGCUGCUACUGCCACAUAUCCGUUGGAUCUAGUGAGAACCCGACUUGCCGCACAGAGAAGUGCCAUUUACUACAAUGGCAUCUCCCAUGCCUUUAAUACAAUAUGCAGGGAAGAAGGCUUCUUGGGUCUUUACAAGGGACUUGGAGCAACAUUAUUGGGUGUUGGGCCGAGUAUAGCGAUAAGUUUUUCUGUUUAUGAAGGCUUACGUUCAUUUUGGAAGUCGCAAAGGCCUGAUGAUUCAACAAUCAUGAUCAGCCUUGCUUGUGGCAGUCUUUCAGGCAUUGCGUCAUCAACAGCAACAUUUCCUUUGGAUCUAGUAAGGCGCCGGAUGCAGUUAGAGGGGCUUGGGGGUCGAGCUCGCAUCUAUAAUACCAGUCUGUUGGGAACAUUUGGACACAUAAUUCAGAAUGAAGGGGUACGAGGUUUGUAUAGAGGCAUUUUGCCUGAGUACUACAAGGUUGUUCCCGGCGUGGGCAUUGUCUUUAUGACUUAUGAGACAUUAAAGAUCCUUAUAUCAAGCAUUCAGAGUUAUUAAACUAUUUUCCAUCAUAUGCUGACCACCUCCAUUUAAUCCUUUUAGGAAAUUUUGUCAUGUAACACUUUUUUUGAAGACAGGAUGAUUACUACCUCAAGUGAUAAUGAUGAUAGCUCUGCAAUGGUUGAAGGUAAUAAUAAACUUGAUCUUACAUGGACUUUUGUUGCUGCAUUAGUGGCAAGUUAUCAAGUUGUUUGGCUGAAGCAGUGGUAUUAAGUUACGAGUUGAGCGAGGGAAAUAGGAAUAGGUUUUAAGCAAUUACAAUAUACAAUACAUGUUUUUUCAACAAUUGGUAUGAUAUGAUAGGUCAUAGACUCAAUACAAACAUGAUACAUGUCAGGGGACAAUGGUGUCGUUUGAUUCAUGUAGCUGACCUCACCUACUAGGAAUAAAGCUUUGUAGUUGUUAAUAGGUCAUAGUUCAACAUAUAAAGAUGAUGACUAAUGGUUUCAACA
Molecule: non-coding RNA, 1796 nt
Organism: Arachis ipaensis
Lineage: Eukaryota; Viridiplantae; Streptophyta; Magnoliopsida; Fabales; Fabaceae
Source: RefSeq, a predicted model, not a curated record